RNAcentral lists this ribosomal RNA (492 nucleotides) under uncultured bacterium. RNAcentral describes it as "partial 16S ribosomal RNA". It matches the Rfam family "Bacterial small subunit ribosomal RNA", at positions 29 to 507 of the family's 1533-position model. The record is from RNAcentral.
AGUGAACGCUGGCGGUAGGCCUAACACAUGCAAGUCGAACGGCAGCACAGUGAGAGCUUGCUCUUACGGGUGGCGAGUGGCGGACGGGUGAGGAAUACAUCGGAAUCUACUUUUUCGUGGGGGAUAACGUAGGGAAACUUACGCUAAUACCGCAUACGACCUACGGGUGAAAGCAGGGGAUCUUCGGACCUUGCGCGAUUGAAUGAGCCGAUGUCGGAUUAGCUAGUUGGCGGGGUAAAGGCCCACCAAGGCGACGAUCCGUAGCUGGUCUGAGAGGAUGAUCAGCCACACUGGAACUGAGACACGGUCCAGACUCCUACGGGAGGCAGCAGUGGGGAAUAUUGGACAAUGGGCGCAAGCCUGAUCCAGCCAUACCGCGUGGGUGAAGAAGGCCUUCGGGUUGUAAAGCCCUUUUGUUGGGAAAGAAAAGCAGCAGGUUAAUACCCCGCGGUUCUGACGGUACCCAAAGAAUAAGCACCGGCUAACUUCGUG